GCCUCGGUAGUCUAGGCUUAGGACGCUCGCACGGUAUGCAAGAGAUCCGGGUUCGACUCCCGACCGAGGUA
RNAcentral lists this transfer RNA (71 nucleotides) under Trachymyrmex cornetzi. It matches the Rfam family "tRNA". Rfam says of the family: Transfer RNA (tRNA) molecules are approximately 80 nucleotides in length. Their secondary structure includes four short double-helical elements and three loops (D, anti-codon, and T loops). Lineage: Eukaryota; Metazoa; Arthropoda; Insecta; Hymenoptera; Formicidae. The record is from Rfam by way of RNAcentral.